AUAGCAUUAUACCGUGAAACUGCGAAUGGCUCAUUAAAUCAGUUAUCGUUUAUUUGAUAAUACCUUACUACUUGGAUAACCGUGGUAAUUCUAGAGCUAAUACAUGCUGAAAAUCCCGACUUCGGAAGGGAUGUGUUUAUUAGAUAAAAAACCAAUGCCCUUCGGGGCUUUUUGGUGAUUCAUGAUAACUUUACGGAUCGCAUAGCCUUGCGCUGGCGACGGUUCAUUCAAAUUUCUGCCCUAUCAACUUUCGAUGGUAAGGUAUUGGCUUACCAUGGUUUCAACGGGUAACGGGGAAUUAGGGUUCGAUUCCGGAGAGGGAGCCUGAGAAACGGCUACCACAUCCAAGGAAGGCAGCAGGCGCGCAAAUUACCCAAUCCCGACACGGGGAGGUAGUGACAAUAAAUACUGAUACAGGGCUCUUUUGGGUCUUGUAAUUGGAAUGAGUACAAUUUAAACCUCUUAACGAGGAACAAUUGGAGGGCAAGUCUGGUGCCAGCAGCCGCGGUAAUUCCAGCUCCAAUAGCGUAUAUUAAAGUUGUUGCAGUUAAAAAGCUCGUAGUUGAAACUUGGGCCUGGCUGGCGGGUCCGCCUCACCGCGUGCACUCGUCCGGCCGGGCCUUCCUUCUGAAGAACCUCAUGCCCUUCACUGGGCGUGCUGGGGAAUCAGGACUUUUACUUUGAAAAAAUUAGAGUGUUCAAAGCAGGCCUUUGCUCGAAUACGUUAGCAUGGAAUAAUAAAAUAGGGCGUGCGUUUCUAUUUUGUUGGUUUCUAGAGACGCCGCAAUGAUUAACAGGAACAGUCGGGGGCAUCAGUAUUCAGUUGUCAGAGGUGAAAUUCUUGGAUUUACUGAAGACUAACUACUGCGAAAGCAUUUGCCAAGGAUGUUUUCAUUAAUCAGUGAACGAAAGUUAGGGGAUCGAAGACGAUCAGAUACCGUCGUAGUCUUAACCGUAAACUAUGCCGACUAGGGAUCGGGCGAUGUUCUUUUUCUGACUCGCUCGGCACCUUACGAGAAAUCAAAGUUUUUGGGU
This 1035-nucleotide ribosomal RNA is filed under the name Alternaria alternata. Its description in RNAcentral is "SSU rRNA". It matches the Rfam family "Eukaryotic small subunit ribosomal RNA", at positions 69 to 1112 of the family's 1831-position model. Lineage: Eukaryota; Fungi; Ascomycota; Dothideomycetes; Pleosporales; Pleosporaceae. The record is from RNAcentral.